AGAACAGCUGCCCAUUGUAUUGAAUAUGCCCAUUUAAUCAAAUGGGAUGAGGUGCAUAGUGGGAAAGCAUUUGAUCCUGAUGAUCCCGAGCAUAUGCAGUGGGUCUACUCAGAGGCUGUCAUGAGAGCCAAACUUUUUGAUAUACCGGGAGUUACUUAUUCUCUGACUCAGGGUGUUGUGAAGAACAUUAUUCCAGCUAUUGCUUCUACAAAUGCAAUUGUAUCUGCCGCCUGUGCUUUGGAAGCGUUAAAGAUUGUAUCUGGA
Molecule: unclassified non-coding RNA, 264 nt
Filed under: Hevea brasiliensis (rubber tree)
Lineage: Eukaryota; Viridiplantae; Streptophyta; Magnoliopsida; Malpighiales; Euphorbiaceae
Source: RNAcentral